AGCCAAAGUGUUGAGUUCGGUUCUGGGCUUUUACCCAGUUCUGGUAAUAAAUCUUUGGUAAAGGAAAUGGCUGACAGUGAAGAAAAACAUGAAGAGUCAUGCUGGUGGCAUCUUCAUCAAACUUCAGCCUACAUCU
Molecule: small nucleolar RNA, 136 nt
Organism: Misgurnus anguillicaudatus (oriental weatherfish)
Lineage: Eukaryota; Metazoa; Chordata; Actinopteri; Cypriniformes; Cobitidae
Source: RefSeq, a predicted model, not a curated record